AAGGACUGAAGCAAAACAGGGCAAAACAGAGCUCAACUACGCCGGGGGCGCAGUACAACCACGCGCGGCGUGAUCCUUCAGUACAGAGGAAGGAGUUUUUCACAUUUCAUCACGCGCGGCGUGGGGGUACAUCAUGUAAUGACCCAUUUUUCGUAUUCGUAUAUUUUAUUAAAUGUUAUUUUAUUUAUUAAUUGGCUUUUAUUAUUUUAG
This 210-nucleotide long non-coding RNA is filed under the name Trifolium pratense (red clover). Its description in RNAcentral is "long non-coding RNA (TPRA_LNC004352)". The record is from RNAcentral. Lineage: Eukaryota; Viridiplantae; Streptophyta; Magnoliopsida; Fabales; Fabaceae.